Non-coding RNA from Leptonychotes weddellii (Weddell seal), 599 nucleotides. The record is from RefSeq and is a predicted model, not a curated record. NCBI's taxonomy places the organism in Eukaryota, Metazoa, Chordata, Mammalia, Carnivora, Phocidae.
CUGGUGCAGUAGGGUGAAGAAUGCUCUAGCAUUGCUGUAGAUGAGGGUAGCUGGUGGAGAAGGAUACCCAAGUAAAGCCUUAGAGAAGAAGAGAGUCCCAGAAGAGAUUGUGCUUCUGGUUUCCAAAGCCUUGGACUGACCAUCUUGGUGGCCUAACAGACUCACUGUGUAAGCAGACACUAAAAAGGAAGAUAACUUCCAUCCUACCAUGACGGCUCUGGGUGUGGAUGUGCUGCUUGCCACCAGAAGCGAAGGCCAGAUGCCAGAAGCUGCAAGCUCCAAGCAAGCACCCCUGACCCAGUUUUCCACCAGUCUGAUGCAGUUCUGAUGCCGUGCUAACCCUCCAGAUGACCUUGGGAUCAUUACCAUCUAAUUGUAAUAAAAAAAACAAUAACACACCAACCAACCCACUGACAGAUUGGACAGUGCCCAUUCAAGGGAAGAAAAGAGGUGACACUUUGAUUCUUCGAGCCUCCUGCCCCUUCCUGGAAAAACCCUGAUAUCAGCUUGCUUACCAGCCCCCUUAAUUACCCUAACCCCAUAAAACCCCGACCGUGAGACCUAAUGGGGAGAAAUGUGCCUUUACAUCAUAAGUUCCC